CCUACGGGUGGCUGCAGUGGGGAAUAUUGGUCAAUGGGCGCAAGCCUGACCCAGCAACGCCGCGUGAAGGAAGACGGCCUUCGGGUUGUAAACCUCUUUUGACAGGGAAGAGAAGAGGACGGUACCUGCCGAAUAAGCCACGGCUAACUACGUGCCAGCAGCCGCGGUAAUACGUAGGUGGCAAGCGUUAUCCGGAGUUACUGGGUGUAAAGGGCGUGUAGGCGGGUUGGCAAGUCAGAUGUGAAAGUUAUGGGCUCAACCCAUGACCUGCAUUUGAAACUGUCGAUCUUGAGAGCGGGAGAGGCAGACGGAAUUCGUGGUGUAGCGGUGAAAUGCGUAGAUAUGGGGAGGAACACCAGUGGCGAAGGCGGUUUGCUGGACCGCAACUGACGGUGAGGCGCGAAAGCGUGGGGAGCAAACAGGAUUAGAUACCCGAGUAGUC
RNAcentral lists this ribosomal RNA (442 nucleotides) under uncultured bacterium. RNAcentral's name for it is "partial 16S ribosomal RNA". It matches the Rfam family "Bacterial small subunit ribosomal RNA", at positions 338 to 795 of the family's 1533-position model. The record is from RNAcentral.